Molecule: ribosomal RNA, 37 nt
Filed under: Trichoderma harzianum
Lineage: Eukaryota; Fungi; Ascomycota; Sordariomycetes; Hypocreales; Hypocreaceae
Also listed under: 17 other names
Description: partial 28S ribosomal RNA
Source: RNAcentral
UUGACCUCGGAUCAGGUAGGAAUACCCGCUGAACUUA